Sphaeramia orbicularis (orbiculate cardinalfish) is the source of this 130-nucleotide small nucleolar RNA. NCBI's taxonomy places the organism in Eukaryota, Metazoa, Chordata, Actinopteri, Kurtiformes, Apogonidae. The record is from Ensembl.
GUGCACAGUUCAUUGUCCUGUUCUUCUCCGCUGUAGGAACAGUGAUAUUUCUACUGUGCUAUAGUAAAACUGGAGGUAAAUUAGCAGAGUGGCCCUGAAUGCCUCCUCUGCCAGUCCCCUUCACACACUC